GACGAACGCUGGCGGCGUGCUUAACACAUGCAAGUCGAACGGAAAGGCCUCUUUCGGGGGGUACUCGAGUGGCGAACGGGUGAGUAACACGUGAGUAACCUGCCCUUGACUUUGGGAUAACUUCAGGAAACUGGGGCUAAUACCGGAUAGGAGCUCCUGCUGCAUGGUGGGGGUUGGAAAGUUUCGGCGGUUGGGGAUGGACUCGCGGCUUAUCAGCUUGUUGGUGGGGUAGUGGCUUACCAAGGCUUUGACGGGUAGCCGGCCUGAGAGGGUGACCGGCAAAAGUGGGAAGGAGAUAGAGCAAGGAGUGCUAGGGGGGGAAGCGGGGGGGAAGGGGGGACAGUGGGCGGAAGCCUGAGGAAGCAAAGCCGCGUGGGGGGUGAAGGGCGGUGGGUGGUAAACGGAAGGCGCAUGGGACGAAGAGGGAGGGACGGUAAGGGGUAAAGAAGCAACGGCUAACUACGUG
Molecule: ribosomal RNA, 466 nt
Filed under: uncultured bacterium
Lineage: Bacteria
Description: partial 16S ribosomal RNA
Rfam family: Bacterial small subunit ribosomal RNA
Source: RNAcentral